This 558-nucleotide unclassified non-coding RNA is filed under the name Hevea brasiliensis (rubber tree). Lineage: Eukaryota; Viridiplantae; Streptophyta; Magnoliopsida; Malpighiales; Euphorbiaceae. The record is from RNAcentral.
AGUUUACUAAUAUGUUUACUACUGCUGUUGGAUUUUUUUUUUAUUUUGUUUGCUACUGUUCAUCUAUUUUGUGCUUACUUGGUUCUUUUUGGAUUGAUAUCUCCUCUUUUCUUUUUGAUUGAUGACAAAAAGGUAGAGAAUUGAUGUGCUUAUGUUUUAGAUAUGUGUGUGCAAACUAUUUUGAGAUAUUGUUAACAGGUCUUGCAAUGGAUGCGCUUAUGUUUUAGACGCGUGUGUGCAAACUAUUGUGGCUUAUGUGUGCAAAUAAUUUUGUAUGUGACUAUUGUUACAGGUUAAGCUUAACAUUUUGCCUAUUGAAAUUGUGGAUAUCUUGAGAAUAUUUUUUGUUACAUAAAUUCAGAGAGAGCUUUGUAUAGCUAUCAAUACUGUUAAUUUUUUUUAACAUUUGUGCAUACAUUUAGGGUGAGUAAUUCCCACAUACUUACAUGCACGGUUAUACAUACACCUACACACACUUUUAUUUAUUCUUAAUUGGUGAUUCAAUGGAGUUUUAUCAUCAUCAAAAACAGAGAUAUUGUUGACCCCGUGUAGCUCAAA